Molecule: ribosomal RNA, 529 nt
Filed under: uncultured bacterium
Lineage: Bacteria
Description: partial 16S ribosomal RNA
Source: RNAcentral
CCCAGGUUAAGCCCGGGGAUUUCACAUCUGUCUUAUGGAGCCGCCUGCGCACGCUUUACGCCCAGUAAUUCCGAUUAACGCUCGCACCCUACGUAUUACCGCGGCUGCUGGCACGUAGUUAGCCGGUGCUUCUUCUUCAGGUACCGUCAUUAGCAAGCUAUGUUAGAGCUCACCGUUUCGUUCCUGCCGAAAGAGUUUUACAACCCGAAGGCCUUCUUCACUCACGCGGAAUGGCUGGAUCAGGGUUGCCCCCAUUGUCCAAAAUUCCCCACUGCUGCCUCCCGUAGGAGUCUGGACCGUGUCUCAGUUCCAGUGUGGCUGGUCGUCCUCUCAGACCAGCUACGGAUCGUCGCCUUGGUGAGCCUUUACCUCACCAACUAGCUAAUCCGAUAUCGGCCGCUCCUGUCGCGCGAGGUCUUGCGAUCCCCCGCUUUCACCCUCAGGUCGUAUGCGGUAUUAAUCCGGCUUUCGCCGAGCUAUCCCCCACGAUAGGGUACGUUCCGAUGUGUUACUCACCCGUUCGCCGCUC